CAGCAGCCGCGGUAAGACGGAGGAUGCAAGCGUUAUCCGGAAUUACUGGGCGUAAAGCGUGCGUAGGCGGUAACGUAAGUCGGAUGUGAAAGCCCCGGGCUUAACCUGGGAAUUGCAGUCGAUACUGUGUAGCUAGAGAGUGGUAGGGGUAGAGGGAAUUCCUAGUGUAGCGGUGAAAUGCGUAGAUAUUAGGAAGAACACCAGUGGCGAAGGCGCUCUACUGGGCCAUUACUGACGCUGAUGGACGAAAGCUAGGGGAGCGAAAGGGAUUAGAUACCCCUGUAGUCCUAGCUGUAAACGAUGGACACUAGGUGUUGGCCGUAUCGACCCGGUCAGUAUCGAAGCAAACGCGUUAAGUGUCCCGCCUGGGGAGUACGCACGCAAGUGUGAAACUCAAAGGAAUUGACGGGGGCCCGCACAAGCGGUGGAGUAUGUGGUUUAAUUCGAUGCAACGCGAAGAACCUUACCAGGGAUUGACAUCCUACGAAUCUUCUUGAAAGGGAAGAGUGCCUUCGGGAGCGUAGAGACAGGUGGUGCAUGGCUGUCGUCAGCUCGUGUCGUGAGAUGUUGGGUUAAGUCCCGCAACGAGCGCAACCCUCGUCCUUAGUUGCCAUCAUUAAGUUGGGCACUUUAAGGAGACUGCCGGUGACAAACCGGAGGAAGGUGGGGAUGACGUCAAGUCAUCAUGCCCCUUACAUCCUGGGCUACACACGUACUACAAUGCAACGGACAAAGGGCAGCCAACUAGCGAUAGUGCGCUAAUCCCAUAAACCGUUGCUCAGUUCAGAUUGCAGGCUGCAACUCGCCUGCAUGAAGGCGGAAUCGCUAGUAAUCGCAGGUCAGCAUACUGCGGUGAAUACGUUCCCGGGCCUUGUACACACCGCCCGUCACACCAUGGAAGUUGGCCACGCCCGAAGUCGUUACCCCAACCUUAGGGAGGAGGAUGCCGAUGGCAGGGCUGAUGACUGGGGUGAAGUCGUAACAAGGUAGCCGUA
This 995-nucleotide ribosomal RNA is filed under the name uncultured cyanobacterium QSSC8L-5. Its description in RNAcentral is "bacterial SSU rRNA". It matches the Rfam family "Bacterial small subunit ribosomal RNA", at positions 509 to 1504 of the family's 1533-position model. The record is from RNAcentral. Lineage: Bacteria; Bacillati; Cyanobacteriota.